Long non-coding RNA from Brienomyrus brachyistius, 502 nucleotides. RefSeq lists it as uncharacterized. The record is from RefSeq and is a predicted model, not a curated record. The transcript has 3 exons. NCBI's taxonomy places the organism in Eukaryota, Metazoa, Chordata, Actinopteri, Osteoglossiformes, Mormyridae.
AGGUAUCCGUUGACGGGGUAUGAAUAGCCUGGGGAUUUCGUGUAAGCCGUUCUGAAGGGAGCGGACCGUACGUGGAGAGACGUGCGAUACUGAAAUAUAAUUUAUGACAGCCUGCAGCCUGAAAGCCACAUGGAAAAGGGAAGAAUGAAGUGGGCUUAAUUGAGGCUGAUCUUGAGCCCUGAUAAGCAGAGACCUGCUGCAGUAGCACGUGAAGCUGGGUGUUUAGACCCCUCUGACUGUACACACAGAAAUGACUGACGGCAUCCCGGCUGUCUGCUCACAUGCUGAAAUGACCCCAAUCUCCAUCCUGAUCUCCAUACUGUGGCUGACAGUGUGUGAGGAGCAGGAGAGAGAUCUCUACUCAGUUCACUGUAAUGAGUGACACUCACCUGUGAGCCCAGCGAUGAGAAGAAACAGGAGCAUCAGAGGAUCCAUACGUGUGUGUGUCACUGAGCCCAGAUCUGUGGAGACUGACUCUCACUUCCUCAUCCUCUGUACCUUC